GACGAACGCUGGCGGCGUGCCUAAUACAUGCAAGUUGAGCGAUGAAGAUUGGUGCUUGCACCAAUUUGAAGAGCAGCGCACGGGUGAGUAACGCGUGGGGAAUCUGCCUUUGAGCGGGGGACAACAUUUGGAAACGAAUGCUAAUACCGCAUAACAACUUUAAACAUAAGUUUUAAGUUUGAAAGAUGCAAUUGCAUCACUCAAAGAUGAUCCCGCGUUGUAUUAGCUAGUUGGUGAGGUAAAGGCUCACCAAGGCGAUGAUACAUAGCCGACCUGAGAGGGUGAUCGGCCAAAUUGGGACUGAGACACGGCCCAAACUCCUACGGGAGGCAGCAGUAGGGAAUCUUCGGCAAUGGACGAAAGGCUGACCGAGCAACGCCGCGUGAGUGAAGAAGGUUUUCGGAUCGUAAAACUCUGUUGGUAGAGAAGAACGUUGGUGAGAGUGGAAAGCUCAUCAAGUGACGGUAACUACCCAGAAAGGGACGGCUAACUACGUG
Molecule: ribosomal RNA, 497 nt
Filed under: uncultured bacterium
Lineage: Bacteria
Description: partial 16S ribosomal RNA
Rfam family: Bacterial small subunit ribosomal RNA
Source: RNAcentral